RNAcentral lists this ribosomal RNA (728 nucleotides) under uncultured Pseudomonadota bacterium. RNAcentral's name for it is "bacterial SSU rRNA". It matches the Rfam family "Bacterial small subunit ribosomal RNA", at positions 55 to 762 of the family's 1533-position model. The record is from RNAcentral. Lineage: Bacteria; Pseudomonadati; Pseudomonadota.
AUGCAGUCGAACGCGAAAGUUCCCUUCGGGGAGCGAGUAGAGUGGCGCACGGGUGAGUAACACGUAGGUAAUCUACCUUUGGAUGGGGAAUAACAACCGGAAACGGUUGCUAAUACCGCAUAAUGCAGCGGCACCUAAUGGUGACAGUUGUUAAAGCGGGGGAUCGAAAGACCUCGCGUCUAAAGAGGAGCCUGCGGCGGAUUAGCUAGUUGGUAAGGUAAUGGCUUACCAAGGCGAUGAUCCGUAACCGGCCUGAGAGGGCGGUCGGUCACACUGACACUGACAUACGGGUCAGACUCCUACGGGAGGCAGCAGUCGGGAAUUUUGGGCAAUGGGCGAAAGCCUGACCCAGCAACGCCGCGUGAAGGAUGAAAUCCCUCGGGAUGUAAACUUCGCAAGAACGGGAAGAAUAAGUUGGUGUGAAUAUCACCAGCGAUGACGGUACCGUUUGUAAGCUCCGGCUAACUCCGUGCCAGCAGCCGCGGUAAUACGGGGGGAGCAAGCGUUGUUCGGAUUUACUGGGCGUAAAGGGCGCGUAGGCGGCCACUGCAAGUCGGUUGUGAAAUCUCCGGGCUUAACCCGGAAAGGUCAAUCGAUACUGCAGGGCUAGAGUGCAGAAGGGGCAACUGGAAUUCUCGGUGUAGCGGUGAAAUGCGUAGAUAUCGAGAGGAACACCUGCGGCGAAGGCGGGUUGCUGGGCUGACACUGACGCUGAAGCGCGAAAGCUA